GCCCUCUUCGGAGGGAGCGGCGGACGGGUUAGUAACGCGUGGGAACGUGCCUCUCUCUACGGAACAGCCCAGGGAAACUUGGAUUAAUACCGUAUACGCCCCUGGGGGGUUAAACCUUGGGGGGAAAGAUUUAUCGGAGAGAGAUCGGCCCGCGUUGGAUUAGGUAGUUGGUGGGGUAAUGGCCUACCAAGCCUACGAUCCAUAGCUGGUUUGAGAGGAUGAUCAGCAACACUGGGACUGAGACACGGCCCAG
RNAcentral lists this ribosomal RNA (253 nucleotides) under uncultured bacterium. RNAcentral describes it as "partial 16S ribosomal RNA". It matches the Rfam family "Bacterial small subunit ribosomal RNA", at positions 68 to 334 of the family's 1533-position model. The record is from RNAcentral.